CCUACGGGAGGCGGCAGUGGGGAAUAUUGGGCAAUGGGCGCAAGCCUGACCCAGCAACGCCGCGUGAAGGAAGAAGGCUUUCGGGUUGUAAACUUCUUUUAAGAGGGAAGUGCAGAAGACGGUACCUCUUGAAUAAGCUAUGGCUAACUACGUGCCAGCAGCCGCGGUAAUACGUAGGGGGGAAGUGUUGUCCGGAUUUACUGGGUGUAAAGGGCGUGUAGACAGGCUGACAAGUCAGAUGUGAAAUCCCGUGGCUCAACCACGGAACUGCAUUUGAAACUGUCGGUCUUGAGUAUCGGAGAGGCAGGCGGAAUUCCUGGUGUAGCGGUGAAAUGCGUAGAUAUUAGGAGGAACGCCAGUGGCGAAGGCAGCCUGCUGGACGACAACUGACGGUGAGGCGCGAAAGCGUGGGGAGCAAACAGGAUUAGAUACCCGAGUAGUC
Molecule: ribosomal RNA, 442 nt
Filed under: uncultured bacterium
Lineage: Bacteria
Description: partial 16S ribosomal RNA
Rfam family: Bacterial small subunit ribosomal RNA
Source: RNAcentral